Molecule: long non-coding RNA, 1115 nt
Organism: Megalobrama amblycephala (Wuchang bream)
Lineage: Eukaryota; Metazoa; Chordata; Actinopteri; Cypriniformes; Xenocyprididae
Exons: 2
Source: RefSeq, a predicted model, not a curated record
AUCCACCACCUCAGCCUAACCUUGUGCCCUGUCCUGAUGAACAACCACCUCCAUAUGCAGAACUUUACCCCAACUUAUAUGACCCUACAACUCUACCCCAUCCAGGAGCUGCUGCAGGGCUUUAUCCAGAUCCAAAUGCUGUGCUGCCUGGUUUCAAUCCGACUCCAUCUGCACCAGUUUAUGAUCCAAAUCAAAGCACUAAAGAAUCCUUUCCUAAUGUGUCUUAUUAGUCUCCUUCACCAGACAAACCUCUGACCACCACUUAUGAUGUGUCAAUUAUAACUUCAUGGUUUUAUCUGCAUGAAUUCAAGCUUGGUGCCUAUUAUUGUGCCUUUUACACUUAGCACUUUUCUUAAAAGGGUUAGUUCAUUGUCAUUAAUUACUCACCUUAAUAUUCCAAACCCAGUAAGACCUUCAUAAAAUUAAGGUUGAACCACUGUAGUCACAUGGACUAUUUUAACGAUGUCUUUACUACCUUUCUGGGCCUUGAAAAUGGUAGUUGCUUUGCUGUCUAUAGAGGGACAGAAAGCUCUUGGAUUACAUCAAAAAUAUCUUAAUUUGUGUUCUGAAGAUGAACAAAGGUCUUACGGGUUUGGAACGACAUGAGGGUUAGUAAAUGAAGAAAGAAUUUGUAAUUUUUGCAAGAACUAACCCUUUACUUUUACAGGGAAUGUACAGUAAAAUCUUCAGUUUUUGAGAUGUCGUUUUUUUUUGGCCUUUGUAGUUCACUGUUCAGUUCCCCAUUUCCCCUGUGCUCCAAAAACACAGGUCUAAAAACCUUUCUAUCCUUUAUUGCAGUACAAAAACAUUUUUAAAAAUGUAGCUGAUCACUCCUACUGAAACUUAUUUUGCUGAUAGUACUGCAUUUGUUUUGAUAAUGUGUUCAUAUUAGAGGAUAUUGCAGCUUUUUCUUAGUACUAGAUUUGUGGUUUUGACCUCCGUCCAUGAAAUUUUGAUUGUAAUUGCUGCAAAAAUUUUACAGGAUUGUUUGAGUUUCUUACCAAAGUUAUGAUUAUUGCAUGAAAUGUUGGUUACGCAAGAGUCAAAUGCAAAGUAUCGACUAAAGGUUUAACAACACAGACAAUGUGAAAUUAUAAAAUAAUUGUUUUAAUCCA